UACAUACGCAAGAUGUUAGUGGUCACUGUAUGGUAGUCUGCGAAAGGAGUUAUUCAUUAUUCAUUUUUGCAACAAGGAAAAACGGUAACAGCAAC
This is a long non-coding RNA of Octopus sinensis (East Asian common octopus), 95 nucleotides long. RefSeq lists it as uncharacterized. The transcript has 3 exons. Lineage: Eukaryota; Metazoa; Mollusca; Cephalopoda; Octopoda; Octopodidae. The record is from RefSeq and is a predicted model, not a curated record.